Molecule: ribosomal RNA, 468 nt
Filed under: uncultured bacterium
Lineage: Bacteria
Description: partial 16S ribosomal RNA
Rfam family: Bacterial small subunit ribosomal RNA
Source: RNAcentral
GACGAACGCUGGCGGCGUGCUUAACACAUGCAAGUCGAACGGAAAGGCCAUGCUCUUGUGAGGUGCUCGAGUGGCGAACGGGGGAGUAACACGUGAGGAACCUGCACUUGACUUUGGGAUAACUUCAGGAAACAGGGGAGAAUACCGGAGAGGAGCUCCUGAUGCAUGGUGGGGGUUGGAAAGUUUCGGCGGUGGGGGAUGGUCUCGCGGGUUAUCAGCUUGUUGGGGAGGUAGGGGCGGACCAAGGCUUUGAAUGGUAGCCCGCCUGAGAGGGUGAACAGCCUCAUUGGUCCUGCGCUACGCCCCAGUCUCUUACGGGACGCAGCAGUCGGAAAUCUUGCGCAGUGACCGGACGCCUGUUGCAGCCGUCCCCCGUGCGGAAUACUCUCCUUCUCGUUGUAAACCGCUUUCUCCUGUGCUGAAGCCUUCUUGACGGUAACGGGUCAGGAAGCCACGGCUAACUACGUG